RNAcentral lists this ribosomal RNA (425 nucleotides) under uncultured bacterium. RNAcentral describes it as "partial 16S ribosomal RNA". It matches the Rfam family "Bacterial small subunit ribosomal RNA", at positions 354 to 796 of the family's 1533-position model. The record is from RNAcentral.
GUGGGGAAUAUUGGGCAAUGGGGGAAACCCUGACCCAGCAACGCCGCGUGAAGGAAGAAGGCUUUCGGGUUGUAAACUUCUUUUAUGAGGGAAGAUAAUGACGGUACCUCAUGAAUAAGCCACGGCUAACUACGUGCCAGCAGCCGCGGUAAUACGUAGGUGGCAAGCGUUGUCCGGAUUUACUGGGUGUAAAGGGCGUGUAGGCGGGACUGCAAGUCAGAUGUGAAAUUUCGGGGCUCAACCCCGAAACUGCAUUUGAAACUGUGGUUCUUGAGUAUCGGAGAGGCAGGCGGAAUUCCUAGUGUAGCGGUGAAAUGCGUAGAUAUACGGAGGAACACCAGUGGCGAAGGCGGAUUACUGGACGAUAACUGACGCUGAGGCGCGAAAGCGUGGGGAGCAAACAGGAUUAGAUACCCCUGUAGUCC